CAUGCGCGUGCUGCGGCGCGCGCACCGAUGACGCUUCCGACGCACGAUACGUCCAUGGCACGCAGGAGGCGGAUCCGGCAACCUCACCCCCCACGAGGCCCGGAACCCUGAGCGGACAUCCAGGCGGGUGCUUCACCGGCCCCGCAUGGAUGUCCGCUGAUUUUUUU
This 167-nucleotide non-coding RNA is filed under the name Burkholderia sp. lig30. RNAcentral's name for it is "Burkholderia sRNA 35". It matches the Rfam family "Burkholderia sRNA 35". From Rfam's summary of the family: Identified by RNA-seq, RACE and Northern blot. Lineage: Bacteria; Pseudomonadati; Pseudomonadota; Betaproteobacteria; Burkholderiales; Burkholderiaceae. The record is from Rfam by way of RNAcentral.